UAUCUUCGUACAAAUUGUCUGCUGAUAAAUCCAUGCUCGUCUUGUCUUUCCUCGUGUUUGGCUUCUACAACUACGUUCUUAUCGACCGUCUUCACCGUGAUCUCGUCAGUUAUUUCCGAUGUAACGCGAUAGAAAGAGGAAGAGAACAUAUAUACGUAUGGUGGUGUUUGAUUUGUAAACGCCCUUAUGGUGUGUUCUCUUAGUAAGGGCACAUGAAACUCCACGUCCGUAAAAGCUUCUAUCUUUUAUUUUUAUCUUCGAUAUAUUAUUUGAAAUAGAAACGGGGGAUAUAUAUAUAAUAAAACAAUAAAGAAAGAAAAAGAAAGAAAAGAAAAAAGGAACGAGAUACAAGGGAGCGCAUUUCUCUGCAUUUUUUCUUUUUCCUUUUUUUCUUUACAUCGAAGAUUUCGGAAACGACGUUUUCCGAUCAUUCUUGCACUCUCGUUUUUAAUGAAAUCAAUGACAGGGUUCCCAAUUGCGUUGGAUCUUGUUGGAGGUAAUAAUUUUGAUUGAAAAAUCAGUUUCAUUUGAGAAAUGAAAUAAGGAAAAACGAUUGUUUAUUAAAAAUUCAAAUCGAUCAUGUAGGAAAACGUUUGAUUUGAUCCGUAUAGGAAGAGACGAAGAAGAUAAAAUAAAAAAACCAUUGCGGAGAUUUCAGAAUCUGCAGGAAUUUUCAUGUAAAAAACAACAACAAAGAAGAACACAAAUUUUCUUUUCCUCCCUUUGACAUUUUUUUUUCUUUCUCUGACUCGCUCUUAAAAAUCCUGGAUUGUUUCGUAUAAGAUCGUACAACAAAAGAUAGCCGGGAAGAUGUAGUUACCAGGUUCACCUACUUGUUGUGGAAUUGUUCUUUUCUCAUAUUUAACAAAUGCCCACUUAAGAGAGAGCACACAUACAAGUAGGUGGUGAUUAUUAUUCGAAAAAGAGAAAAAAACGCGUUUCAGUGCGAUCGAUGCUUUAUUUUAAUAUUUAGCUUGCUUCAAUUCUUAUUCUCAGCAGUCGAGAAUUUACAACGAUUAUUAUUAUUAAAAAAAAACAAACAAAAAUGCAUUCUUAUUAUUAAUCUAUUGAAUUAUAUAAUUGAGAUAUAGAGCAGGAUAUAAAAUUUGAUAUUAAGAAUAGAGAUACGAGAAAGAACCAUAACUGCAGUUUUGUUUUUUUUUUUUUUUAAUCGGCCCGCUCUAAGAGCGUGGACCGAUAAAAAAAAGUAACCCUAAUCAACGUCAAACGUAUCGUCGUAAUUAAUAAUAAUCGUCUUAACGAUCGUACUUUUUCCGUGAAAACUCUUUUUCGUAAACGGUAGGAGAAUAUAAGAAAAAAAUAAAAAAAAAAAACAAAUAAAAAGGAAAACAAAAUAUUAUUUAUGAGAGAGGAUUCGGUAUUUUGUGGUACGAUUCCCCCCCGUCGUUGAUAAAUUCAAAGUCUUUAUUUUUGUAAAAGAGAAAGUUUAUACAGAAUAAACCGUGAACUUAGGAAAACGAAAAAAGAAAGAAGAAGAAGAAGAAAAGAAGAUAAGAGGUCGUUUAAAAAACCACAUUUUAACGAAACCCACCCUGCUUUAGGGUGGUGGGUGGCCCCCUCUCUUUGAAGAGGGGGGUGUGACGUUUCUUCGUCUCCGUAAUUAACUCCAGAAUUGCAUUUCCAGGUUUCGGUUUUAUUCUCCAACAAGACUGAUACGCGAAUUAUAUAUAUAUAUAUAAAUAUAUAUAAUUAGAUCGCGGCGUUUUCUUUCAUUCUUUUUUCUCUAUUUUUUUUUUUAAUACUUCGUCGUAUUUGUUUCGUCGCAUUGGUUGUUCGUUAAACGCGAACGUAAUAAACUUGAUACCAAUUUUAAAUGAGAAAAAACAACAGGAUUAUUGCGUUCUAUUUUCCGAGAAUUGUUAACUUAGAUGGAACAAAACCGUAAUGCGAUAUAAAAUCAUUUCAAAUACGUCGAACUGAAAAUUCAUACGAGAGAAAAAUAAUAUAAAUGGUGUUUUAGAAAGAAAGAAAGAAAGAAAGAAAGAAAGAAAGAAAAAAAGAAAGAGAUCAUUGCGACUCUUUUAAUAUCUGUGAUUACGCGAUUAAUGACCGCGUUAACUACAAACAAACAAACAAACAAACAAACAAACAAAGAGAAUUAAUAAAUAAAUAAUUAAAUAAAAAAAGAUAAGAAGGAAUCGUAAGAGUCGAGAACCGCUGUGGUGUAUAUCCAACGAUUUUUUGUCGCAUAUUGUCUUCUCGAUAAAUACAUAUACACUUUACAUCCCCCAUUUACCCACGCACACGUCCCAUCCCCCAUACAAACAUAUUUAAAUAUAUGUAUUAUACACAGGACAAACAUAUACACAUACAUAUAUAUAUCGUUUCGUCUCAGGAACACUUUAGAUACCUGUCUAAUUUCGUCUAGAAUCGAGUCCCCCUUCCCCUCUCCCCCCACUCAUUAAUGGGAGGGGGGUCGAUCUCGAUAGUUCAGGGAGAAAAACUCGAACGACAACGGCAACAACCAGUGCUCGAUUAUUGAUCGAACUUAUAAAUUCUAUCGAUAGAUCAAAAAAAAAAAAAAACAAGAAAAAAGGAAAAAGAUUGUACCCCCCAACGCGCGAUGACGACGAUAUCGAUCUGAUUAUUCAUCUUGUUGGGAAAGAAGAAAUAACGCUGCUUUUUUCUUUUCCUUUUUUUCUUAUUCUUUUGGUUUUUUCCAUCUAAUAACCUAAUCCAAUUUCCUUAUUCGCGAAUGUACGAUAUAUCAGAUUUGCGCGUGAUUUCUUGAACGCGGCUAUAAUUAACGAUUGAGAUUUAACAGGUCGCGUCGUUUAAUAAUUUGCGAAGAGGAAAUGGGAGUUUUAUAUUGCUGAAGAAAAAGAAAUAACAACGAUGAUAUAAUGAUGAUGAUGAUGAUGAA
This 2884-nucleotide long non-coding RNA is filed under the name Polistes fuscatus (common paper wasp). RNAcentral's name for it is "uncharacterized LOC122515197". The record is from RNAcentral. Lineage: Eukaryota; Metazoa; Arthropoda; Insecta; Hymenoptera; Vespidae.